Molecule: long non-coding RNA, 225 nt
Filed under: Eucalyptus grandis
Lineage: Eukaryota; Viridiplantae; Streptophyta; Magnoliopsida; Myrtales; Myrtaceae
Description: long non-coding RNA (EGRA_LNC006296)
Source: RNAcentral
AGGGGUGAGCGGGUCCAGGGUGGGUAGGGUCUAGACCUAGACCCUGUUCCCUACCCUGUUAUAACCGGUUCUCCUUUUUUGGACCCUGUUUUCAUUGGACCCUGUUCCCGGCCCACCCUGUUUUUCCAGUCCGGGAAUAGGGUUGACCCUGUUUAUGUUUAUCUAUUGAAACAAAAAGGCCGGACCAAGCACAUCCUUCGACCAAACUCAUUGGGAACAUGUAUA